RNAcentral lists this long non-coding RNA (279 nucleotides) under Capsella rubella. Its description in RNAcentral is "long non-coding RNA (CRUB_LNC003416)". The record is from RNAcentral. Lineage: Eukaryota; Viridiplantae; Streptophyta; Magnoliopsida; Brassicales; Brassicaceae.
GAGCCUGGCUCAUGUACACUGAUAGCUCAUUAUAAAAUAAUUUCUUCAAACAUAUACAAUUUAGUUAAAACUAUAGACAAUGCAUUGCAUAUAUUCCCGCCCAAUUGUCCUGCAGAAAUUUCUCCACGUGACACCCACAAUAAAUUCCAACUUUGACAGAUCACUUCUUCUCCGAUCCACUUGGUUUCGUUGCCCCAAAAAAAUAAAAAAAUCCACUUGGUUUAAAUGUUGCUGUGUUUAGUACGUUCCUCUCAUAAGUAUAUCAAACUCCACUUCGUC